Molecule: long non-coding RNA, 401 nt
Filed under: Papio anubis (olive baboon)
Lineage: Eukaryota; Metazoa; Chordata; Mammalia; Primates; Cercopithecidae
Description: lncRNA (ENSPANG00000049291.1)
Source: RNAcentral
UUCUUAAGCUCCUCUUGGCUGUGACACUCUCAGACAAGAAUUUUGAUAAUCUUGUUUUUAUAACUUUAACAGCUUUCUAGAGUACAGUCAGAUAUUUUCAAGGAUGUCCCGCAAUGAGAGUUGUGUGAUGCUUUCCCAUAAUUAGACUGGGAUGAUGGGGAUACAUGGAGGGAAGGCACAGAAGUAAGGCGUGGAGCACCAUUUGGAAGCAAGUCACUAUGCAUAAUUCACAAUUGAGUAAUAAAGAUUUAUGCUUCACCUCUUUGAAGGCAAAAACAGGUUGAGACAUUUACUUCUCCCAAUGGAGGAUAUAUUCUCCUUUCCAGAUGUGGCCGAGAACGAUACUGAAAUUAAAGGGAAGAGACUGGAAAUGAUAUUAGACAAAAAGCAAAUUUGAGCAA